CUGGACUACGAUGGCUUUGACGGGUGACGGAGAAUUAGGGUUCGAUUCCGGAGAAGGAGCCUGAGAAAUGGCUAUUACUUCUAAGGAAGGCAGCAGGCGCGCAAAUUACCCAAUUGGAAUUUCCAGAGGUAGUGAAGAUAAAUAACAAUACCGGAUGCUUUCAGUAUCUGGUAAUUGGAAUGAGAACAAUUUAAAUCCCUUAUCGAGUAUCCAUUGGAGGGCAAGUCUGGUGCCAGCAGCCGCGGUAACACCAGCUCCAAUAGCGUAUAUUAAAGUUGUUGCAGUUAAAAAGCUCGUAGUUGGAUAUCUGAUUAGAUUGGUCUAGCCUGCUCUCUGAGUGUGGCAAGAACGAUCUAAUCAUCCUUCCAGGUAAAGAAGUCUUCGGACUUCUUCUCCUGGAUCCUUUACUUUGAAAAAAUAAGAGUGUUCAAAGCAAGCGUUUUGCUGUGAAUUCAUUAGCAUGGAAUAAUAAAAUAGGACUUUGGCCUAUUUUGUUGGUUUUAGGACCAGAGUAAUGAUUGAUAGGGACAGUUGGGGGUGCUUGUAUUGAACGGCCAGAGGUGAAAUUCUUGGAUUCGUUCAAGACAAACUACUGCGAAAGCAUUCACCAAGGAUGUCUUCUUUAAUCAAGAACGAAAGUUGGGGGAUCGAAGACGAUUAGAUACCGUCGUAGUCUCAACCAUAAACUAUGCCGACUAAGGAUCAGUGAAUGUUUUUUAAAGACUUCAUUGGGACUUUACGAGAAAUCAAAGUUUUUGGGUUCUGGGGGGAGUCUGGUCGCAAGGCUGAAACUUAAAGGAAUUGACGGAAGGGCACACAAGGAGUGGAGCCUGCGGCUUAAUUUGACCCAACACGGGAAAACUUACCAGGUCCAGAGACGCGAAGGAUUGACAGAUUGCAGAUCUUUCUUGAUUGCGUCGUUGGUGGUGCAUGGCCGUUCUUAGUUGGUGGAGUGAUCUGUCUGGUUAAUUCCGCAAACGAACGAGACCAAGACCUGCUAACUAGUUACACAUACAUCCGUGUAUGCUGUAACUUCUUAGAGGGACUGUCGGUUUUUAGCCGAAGGAAGCGCUUGGCAAUAACAGGUCUGUGAUGCCCUUAGAUGUUCUGGGCUGCACGCGCGCUACACUGUUGCAUGCAAUGAGCAUUUCUCCUCGGCCGAAAGGUCUGGGUAAUCUUUUAAUAUGCAACGUGAUGGGGAUUGAUUAUUGCAAUUAUUAGUCAUGAACCAGGAAUUCCUAGUAAACGUGAGUCAUCAGCUCACAUUGAUUACGUCCCUGCCCUUUGUACACACCGCCCGUCGCUCCUACCGAUUGAAUGACCCGGUGAAAUCUUAGGACUUGUCGCUGAGUUUGGCUUGCUAGACUCUUUGUCGGGAAAUUUGAUUAAACCUUAUCAUUUAGAGGAAGGAGAAGUCGUAACAAGGUU
This 1428-nucleotide ribosomal RNA is filed under the name metagenome. RNAcentral describes it as "SSU rRNA". It matches the Rfam family "Eukaryotic small subunit ribosomal RNA", at positions 336 to 1801 of the family's 1831-position model. The record is from RNAcentral.